RNAcentral lists this ribosomal RNA (231 nucleotides) under uncultured bacterium. RNAcentral's name for it is "partial 16S ribosomal RNA". It matches the Rfam family "Bacterial small subunit ribosomal RNA", at positions 100 to 334 of the family's 1533-position model. The record is from RNAcentral.
GGACGGGUGAGUAAUGUCUGGGAAACUGCCUGAUGGAGGGGGAUAACUACUGGAAACGGUAGCUAAUACCGCAUAACGUCGCAAGACCAAAGAGGGGGACCUUCGGGCCUCUUGCCAUCGGAUGUGCCCAGAUGGGAUUAGCUAGUAGGUGGGGUAAAGGCUCACCUAGGCGACGAUCCCUAGCUGGUCUGAGAGGAUGACCAGCCACACUGGAACUGAGACACGGUCCAG